This 119-nucleotide ribosomal RNA is filed under the name Thermomicrobium roseum. Lineage: Bacteria; Pseudomonadati; Thermomicrobiota; Thermomicrobia; Thermomicrobiales; Thermomicrobiaceae. RNAcentral also lists the same sequence under 5 other names. The record is from RNAcentral.
GCGCGUGGUCGAGAGCGGUGUGGAAACACCCCGUCCCAUCCCGAACCGGGUCGUGCCCCACACCAGCGCCGGAGAGUACUGCGCGGGGGACCGCGCGGGAGGCGAGGCCACUGCGCGCA